UACGUAGGUGGCAAGCGUUGUCCGGAAUUAUUGGGCGUAAAGCGCUCGCAGGCGGUCUUUUAAGUCUGAUGUGAAAGCCCACGGCUCAACCGUGGAGGGUCAUUGGAAACUGGAGGACUUGAGUACAGAAGAGGAGAGUGGAAUUCCACGUGUAGCGGUGAAAUGCGUAGAGAUGUGGAGGAACACCGGUGGCGAAGGCGGUUCUCUGGGCAUUACCUGACGCUGAGGAGCGAAAGUGUGGGGAGCGAACAGG
RNAcentral lists this ribosomal RNA (253 nucleotides) under uncultured bacterium. RNAcentral's name for it is "partial 16S ribosomal RNA". It matches the Rfam family "Bacterial small subunit ribosomal RNA", at positions 524 to 776 of the family's 1533-position model. The record is from RNAcentral.